RNAcentral lists this ribosomal RNA (441 nucleotides) under Triticum aestivum (bread wheat). Its description in RNAcentral is "partial small subunit ribosomal RNA". Lineage: Eukaryota; Viridiplantae; Streptophyta; Magnoliopsida; Poales; Poaceae. The record is from RNAcentral.
AUGGCUCCAGGUUCAGCCGCCCUCGCUCUCAAAGCGGCCGCUGUCGCCUCCAUCCUCGCCAUGCUGGUCCCGCCCUCCCUGGGACGCUGUCCGUCGCUCGGCCCAGAGCCACCGGUGCCGGCUCCGGCGCCGGGGCUGGGGCAGGCGAUGCGGUGCGACGACUGUGGCCCGCACUGCAUCUCGACGUGCAGAGCCUCCGUCCCCCCGAAAUGCAGCAAGCCCUGCGGCGCUCCGAGCUGCGACGAGUGUAGGUCCGCCGCGUUCGACAAGUGCAGCAGGGCCGACUGCGCCGGCGCCAGCUGCGACGACUGCGACGGCGAAGCGACCCGAUCGUGCUACGACUCUUGCUCCAACAGCUCUGCGUGCGCGGACUGCACCAGGGCUGCCAGCAAGCAGUGCUCGGCGGACUGCAACAGCCACUGCGCCGCCACCUGCGUGUGA